RNAcentral lists this ribosomal RNA (198 nucleotides) under Cardisoma carnifex (blue land crab). Its description in RNAcentral is "partial 12S small subunit ribosomal RNA". The record is from RNAcentral. Lineage: Eukaryota; Metazoa; Arthropoda; Malacostraca; Decapoda; Gecarcinidae.
GAAGUGUUUGAUUUUGGCUUGGUUUUUACGUUAUUGUUAAAAUUGUAUGAAAGUUAUAGCGUGUUUAGAGAGUUUGGUUUUAUAUUGAAUUUCGAUUAGUGAGUAAGUAAAUUAUAAAAUUAUAUGGUCUCAGCAUGAAUUAUUAAAAUGAUAUAUAAAAGUAUGAAUUAGUAACAAUAAAAAGUCUGAUAAAUAUUU